This 466-nucleotide ribosomal RNA is filed under the name uncultured bacterium. RNAcentral's name for it is "partial 16S ribosomal RNA". It matches the Rfam family "Bacterial small subunit ribosomal RNA", at positions 28 to 507 of the family's 1533-position model. The record is from RNAcentral.
GAUGAACGCUGGCGGCGUGCUUAACACAUGCAAGUCGAACGAUGAAGCCCAGCUUGCUGGGUGGAUUAGUGGCGAACGGGUGAGUAACACGUGAGUAACCUGCCCUUAACUCUGGGAUAAGCCUGGGAAACUGGGUCUAAUACCGGAAAGGAGCGCUUACCCCAUGGUGGGUGUUGGAAAGAUUUAUCGGUUUUGGAUGGACUCGCGGCCUAUCAGCUUGUUGGUGAGGUAAUGGCUCACCAAGGCGACGACGGGUAGCCGGCCUGAGAGGGUGACCGGCCACACUGGGACUGAGACACGGCCCAGACUCCUACGGGAGGCAGCAGUGGGGAAUAUUGCACAAUGGGCGAAAGCCUGAUGCAGCGACGCCGCGUGAGGGAUGACGGCCUUCGGGUUGUAAACCUCUUUCAGUAGGGAAGAAGCGAAAGUGACGGUACCUGCAGAAGAAGCACCGGCUAACUACGUG